CACUCGCAACAACCACCAACGAACAACAGAAUAUAAAAAAGUCGUCAUACAACUUCUAUGUUGAACAUCUGAUCAUCAUUUAACCAAUAAAAGUCAAGCCCCCAUAGAUUUUUGCUUGUUUGAUAUUGUGAACCCAGAUGAAAGGCUUACUGAGGGCAUACUUGUGGCGCAUGAAGUUCUACAUAGAUCAUGUAGUGUUGAGCCUGAUGCAUAGAGUUGGUGUGUCAUAGCAUAUAUUAUUUUAUGUGGGACUAGGCCUUUUGGGCCCGAACUAAAUCUUGGAUUUUUCGGGCUGUUUGGAUGCUCAAGCUUUGAUGAAGUUGUUUUAAAUUGCACAUUUGACGUUGUUUUAACAAUCGCAGCAAGGUGAUCCUGUUGAACAACGGUACAAAGAUCACUCAGAAAGAGGAUCAUUGUCAAUCAACUGGUCAAUCGUGUUAAUUAGUUCAAACAAGCUGCUACAUCUGCUGAUCCCAAGUCUUGAUAUCCAUAUAUUCCAGAGGAACAUGGCUGCAGCCUUAAUAUAUGUGGGAUCACAACCACCAUCACCAUUUUUUUAAAUCAUGGCUGCACUCGGGUUUCCCUUUGGUUCAACUGGGCUUGAGCCACGACCGCCACAGCAAAGAACGAUAAUCAUGAUCCAAGACAAGUGCAGCAGCCUCAUAGUUCUCAUGAUCCAAGAAAUUUAUGGUUAAGAAAAAGGUAUAUGAGUAAACAGUUUCUUUUUUUUUUUAAUUUUUAUAGAUCUUUUAAUUUUUUAGUUAUUUUUCAUGCCUGUUGACGUGUAAUGAAAUUGAUUUUGUAGAAUUACUAUAAUACAUUUAUUUUUCUUACAGGAAUCAUUGUAUAAUUUUACAUUGUACUCGCCUACUCGGUUAUAACAAUGAU
Long non-coding RNA from Helianthus annuus (common sunflower), 888 nucleotides. RefSeq lists it as uncharacterized. Lineage: Eukaryota; Viridiplantae; Streptophyta; Magnoliopsida; Asterales; Asteraceae. The record is from RefSeq and is a predicted model, not a curated record. The transcript has 5 exons.